AUGUUGUGCGUAGCAUGGACAACAAAAUGGACACUAUGCUGCAACAUUUCAGUGCCAAUGGAAGAUUUGGCGUUGCUUGACAACAGUUUGAGGCAGGAUAAAGAGCUCCAGGAACGAUUUCUUCGGUUUUUGGCAAUCAAAUGUGGGAGGGACCUAAAGACAACCGUCUGGCGGAUGCUUCAAAGUAUCUUCUCUAAUCACCUUUCCAUCAAUACAACCUGGACUGGAGUUGGGGAUAAAGCAUGUUUUAGAGACAUGUUCCUGAAGACCAUUGUUCAAAGUAAGUUGGAUGUAAAAAAAAAAUAUGUUUAGUAGAUGUGUAUGGCAUUAUGCCAUUCAAAUGUAAUGACAGAUCUGUAUUUUCUACAGGAGCCAUCCGGAAGAACCCGGCAACACAGGAUGCCACUGAUGAAGCCAUCCAGGUUAACGUUACGCGUUACCUGAAAGGAGCAUCUGACCGUGAAGGCGGAAAAAGGCGCCGCACAGCUGAGAGGGACCCACAGCCGACCCCUUAAACCUAGGCUGACUACUGACAUCCCAGCAUCACUGACAACUGGAACCCUUUCUUUAUCCUGCAGUCAGUAACAUCAAGACCCCUAAAGAAGCCAGAAGUGUCAGACUGCACUCCCCAAUCCACACUGUUCACUGUGGAUAUUAUCAUAGUGCUUAACUUAUUAUAUUGUUAAAUAUAGCUUGUAAAUCCUUGUGCCACAGGUCAGCAUUGCAGUUAUAUCUGUUCUACUACUUUUUUUACCUCAGUAUUUUUUAUAUAUAUUUGAAGAUGUUUAUCACAGAUACAAGAGACAUCUUGUACCCCAGGUCAGCAAUGCCAUUAUAAUGGUCUAUUCUACUCCAGAGCUUUAUUCUAAAUUAUUACCACUUAUCUUAUUGUUAGAAAUGGCUUGUAAAUGUGAUGUUAUACCUGAAUUUUUUUUGGUGUCCUGCACAUUCUUUGGUACCAGAUAUACUCAUUACUUAUGUUUACUGGUAAUUCUUUUCAUGCCAGAGCUGACCUCUUUAUAUUAUUAACAAUUAUUGUAAGUGUUAUAAUUUGCUUGUAAGCUAAGGCUGUUUUUUUUUUUAACAAUUUAAUUGGAAACCUGCAUGUGUGUGUGUGUGUGUGUGUGUAUUUAUUUUUUUUUUUUCUGUUAUUUAUAUUUCAGGGAUCUGACAUCAUGUUUCAAUGACAGUUACUGUACUUUGAAAUGUGGAAUUAAAACGUCAAAUGGAAAUUUGUCUGGUUUGAUCAAUCAUUAUUCUUGAUAAACUGCAUAAUAUAUAUAUAUAUAAUAUAUAUAUAAAUAAAUAAAUAAGCAAGCGGCGACCGAUCGCUCGAAAAUAGCGUUUGCCUCCGACGGGCCGCGGAAGGGUCGCCUUUGAUAUAACGGCGGCGGGACGGCGGUUGGCCCGCGGGCCGGCCGCGGAACGAAGGCGGUAGGAAGGCGGCUGCCGCUUCUAAAAAGCGGCUGCCGCCGGCGGUGCACCGUCAAACGUGUUUGCGAUUACGCUAUUCUGACGCUUCUACUGCCGCCGGAGCGCCGCCGGCGGUCCGCCGACUCAUUGCUAUCUGGGCUGUUGCCACACCCACCCCCCCAGUUGAACUGCUGACUAGUUAUCAACUUUUUCGUUGUUGUCAUGACCGCGCACGCACGUGCAUACCAGACCCACUGGGAAGGAACUUUUAGAUGCAUGUCUUCCAAUUCGAAAAAUGGAGAAAGUGAGCCACCGCCAUCAUCAAUUAAAAAAGCGAAGGUGUGUUCUGUUGCAAACUGUUUUUUAUUUUUAUUUAUUUAUUAUGCGCCUGCCUUUACUAACAUGCAAGUUCACAAUCCUUUCUCCCCCUUCUCGUCCCGUGAACCUCUGGAGUAGUGAGUUUAUCUUUUUUUUUUUUUUUUUUUUUUUUACUGUUCCUGUGGUGUUGAGCAGCUACAAUUCAUUUUAAUCCUAUAAUUUUAUAUUAUAAUUUAUUUAAAGUGAAUAAAUUGUAAUGCAAAAUAAAUAAAAUAGCUAAAGUAAAUCGUAAUACGUGGAAGUGCAUCUGUCAAUUCUGUCAUGAGCAUACAUCAGCAAUUACACAUGUUUAGGGGAAUAGAGCAUUAUUAAUAUACCAUGUAAGGUGGUAUGUGCUAGAAAUAGGUAAACCACUAUCAGUGAGUCUGUCCAUGGGGUGGGGGCACCGCCGCGCAAGGCAGUGUCCCACAUUGUCCCUCAGAAACAUACCCAUGGGCUUAUUAGCAGGUGGUCACCCUACACGCACAUUAUAGUAGAAGUGCAAAAAUGAAAGCGAGAAAAGUCCUCUUGUUAUUAUGUCUCAAUCCUGGGCGUCUAAACGAACAUUUCAAUCUUGGCCUGACCGCGAAUAGUUUUUUUUUUUUUUUUUUUUUUGACCCCGCUUUGCUUCACAACAGAUGAGUCAUGGCAGUGCGCAGUUAGCACGGACUGAAAUUCACUCGUUCUUGGCAGUUCUUGGACCGUUGCUUUUCCUUUUAACUACCUGUGAAAUUGCGUCGCUAUUAUAUCUGAAGAACCGACCGGUUUAUAAUUCAGAAUCUGCAUUCAUUUUCC
Long non-coding RNA from Carassius auratus (goldfish), 2565 nucleotides. NCBI's taxonomy places the organism in Eukaryota, Metazoa, Chordata, Actinopteri, Cypriniformes, Cyprinidae. The record is from Ensembl.